UACAGAGGGUGCAAGCGUUAAUCGGAAUUACUGGGCGUAAAGCGUGCGCAGGCGGUUUUGUAAGUCUGUCGUGAAAAGCCCCCGGGCUCAACCUGGGAAUUGCGAUGGAGACUGCAAGGCUUGAAUCUGGCAGAGGGGGGGGUAGAAUUCCACGUGUAGCAGUGAAAAUGCGUAGAUAUGCGGAGGAACACCGGUGGCGAAGGCGGCUAUCUGGACCGUAACUGACGCUGAGGCGCGAAAAGCGUGGGGGAGCAAACAGG
RNAcentral lists this ribosomal RNA (260 nucleotides) under uncultured bacterium. RNAcentral's name for it is "partial 16S ribosomal RNA". It matches the Rfam family "Bacterial small subunit ribosomal RNA", at positions 524 to 776 of the family's 1533-position model. The record is from RNAcentral.